UGCUAACUGGUAGUGUGGCAUUGGCUAGA
This 29-nucleotide non-coding RNA is filed under the name Mus musculus (house mouse). The record is from RNAcentral. Lineage: Eukaryota; Metazoa; Chordata; Mammalia; Rodentia; Muridae.